AUUGAACGCUGGCGGCAGGCCUAACACAUGCAAGUCGAACGAGUGGCGGACGGGUGAGUAAUGUCUGGGAAACUGCCUGAUGGAGGGGGAUAACUACUGGAAACGGUAGCUAAUACCGCAUACCAUCGGAUGUGCCCAGAUGGGAUGAGCUAGUAGGUGGGGUAAAGGCUCACCUAGGCGACGAUCCCUAGCUGGUCUGAGAGGAUGACCGGCCACACUGGAACUGAGACACGGCCCAGACUCCUACGGGAGGCAGCAGUGGGGAAUAUUCGGCAAUGGGCGAAAGCCUGAUGGAGCAACGCCGCGUGUAUGAAGAAGGUCUUCGGGUUGUAAAGCACUGUCAUCGGGGAGGCGUUACCCACAGAAGAAGCACCGGCUAACUCCGUGCCAGCAGCCGCGGUAAUAC
This 406-nucleotide ribosomal RNA is filed under the name uncultured bacterium. RNAcentral's name for it is "partial 16S ribosomal RNA". It matches the Rfam family "Bacterial small subunit ribosomal RNA", at positions 30 to 526 of the family's 1533-position model. The record is from RNAcentral.